UCCUUCCUCUCUGGAGUCCUUCCUGCAAACCGAGAUCUUCACAUACAGUUCUUGCUGCAGUAAAAAUCAAAGAGAAGCGAGGAGGCUUAACCUUUCCCAGCAGUUUUUUUGUUCAAGAAGUUUGUGGCUUGGUUUGGGAACUGCUUUGCACACCUGGGAUGCAACGCUGAUCGAUACUUGCAUGGCACCAAUCUUCUGCAUAAAAUGAAGUCUGGAAAAAUGAG
Long non-coding RNA from Lagopus leucura (white-tailed ptarmigan), 224 nucleotides. RefSeq lists it as uncharacterized. Lineage: Eukaryota; Metazoa; Chordata; Aves; Galliformes; Phasianidae. The record is from RefSeq and is a predicted model, not a curated record. The transcript has 3 exons.